RNAcentral lists this long non-coding RNA (1150 nucleotides) under Mytilus galloprovincialis (Mediterranean mussel). Lineage: Eukaryota; Metazoa; Mollusca; Bivalvia; Mytilida; Mytilidae. The record is from RNAcentral.
GGUCAAUGUGCUUGUUUUUAUAUAUUUGAAAUUUUGGUGGGAAAUGUUGUCUCUUGACUUUUCAUAGCUUUAUCAUUGACAAGUUUAAGUUCUCAAAAACUAUUAAAAAAUAACUAAAAUUCUGUAAGACUAUUACAGAUGGCUUAUAAUUAAACAUGUAAAAGAUUUAUAAAAAGAAAUAAUGGGGGUCAAUGGACAAUUUAUUUAAGGCAUUCAAAUUGAUAAAUCAGAGGAUUUCAAAAAUCUGACAAAAAUUCCAAAACAUGACAAGCAAACCUCCUUAAAAACUCUGUUGAAAUGUACCAACAUAUGCAUGAUGAAUAUAUGGAGAGUUGUCUCAUUAGCACUCAUUACACAUCUUCUUAUAUAUGUAUGUGAAUAAUUUACAUAUUGUUAUGUUAGAACCUUUUAUAGUUUGAAAUGGGAUACGUUUUAAUCAUUUUUGAAGUCAUUUUUACACCCUAAAGUUGCCUUCUGCUAUGUAAUUUGGUCUCUUGUGAAUUUUUGUCUCAUUAACAAGCAUAACGCAUCUCCAUAUUUCAUAAGACCUUUUUAAAUGAACACAUGAAAGGAUACCCAAAAUAAUUUAUGAUUUACCUUUAAAAUGAUUAUAUUACUUCAUGGGCAUAUGAUCUCAAAGUAAGUAAAGUUAUAAAUAUCUGAUCAGUCAUUUAGAUGUUGUGCUGACCAGAGACUAUCAAAACUUAUAUUGCAAUGUUGAAAUAUUUCAGUUUAAUUAAUUAUCUCCCCUGUAAUAUACAUGCAGUUACUAGCAAUAGCCUGUUUAUCAACAAACAAAAGAAUAUCCUAACUCUUAAAAUUCAUUAUCUCCCUUUGUUAGACCAGUUUAAUAUUCCUUAAUGCAAGUUCUCAUGUUGUAUUUUACAACUGUGUUAAGUUUCAUCAUUAUCUAUAUAUUCAUUUUGGACAAUUGAGCUGAAAAUGCAGACAUCUAGACUGACAGGAGUUUCUUAUGUUUGAGAGAAUGAAUUUAAAAAUGCAUAUACAUUUUUUGAAAGUAUAAGAACAAUUCAAACAUAUCAUAAGGGUGUCCUAAAGAGGAAAACUGUCACACUCAUGGGGCCUCUUAUUAAAGGGUUAAUCCUGUCAUUUUCAAAAUCAGGUACUUUACUUAUAUAUGUAUUUUUUU